RNAcentral lists this unclassified non-coding RNA (363 nucleotides) under Hevea brasiliensis (rubber tree). Lineage: Eukaryota; Viridiplantae; Streptophyta; Magnoliopsida; Malpighiales; Euphorbiaceae. The record is from RNAcentral.
AAAUAAAAUAAAAAUAAAAUAAUAGAGAGAAGUCAACCGGUGCAAAUCCGAAGCUUAAGAUAACAAACCAAUGUCAAUGAUCGGAGAGACAAAGCACUCUGUACUCUUCUUUUCCUUCCUUUAACUAAUUUGCUUUUGCUCGAUCAAUUGUGUCCUUGCCCCUUGUGAAAAGGACAAAACCAUGGCUGCAGCCUUGGUAGGAGGAUCCUUUCUCUCUGCUUUCCUUCAAGUUUUGUUCGAUAGGAUGGCUUCUCCUGAAAUAGUUGACUUCUUCAGGGGUCGAAAGCUUGAUGAUGGGUUGCUCAAUAAAUUGAAUAUAACAUUAAAUUCUGUUGAGGGAGUGCUUGAUGAUGCAGAGGAGAA